GCCGCGGUAUUCUGACCGUGCAAAGGUAGCGCAAUCACUCGUCCCUUAAAUAAGGUCCUGUAUGAAUGGCUAGACGAGGGCUUAACUGUCUCCCCCUUCAGGUCAGUGAAAUUGAUCUAUCCGUGCAGAAGCGGAUAUAACCAUACAAGACGAGAAGACCCUUUGGAGCUUUAGGUACAAGACUCACUUACGUUAAAUAAUCUAGUCAAAGCAUAAAACUUAGUAAAGAUAAGACUUUACCUUCGGUUGGGGCGACCAUGGAGGAAAAAAUAGCCUCCAAGUGGAUUGGAUACAUCCCAAAAACUAAGAGAAACAUCUCUACGUCACAGAACGUCUGACCAAUUAUGAUCCGGUUAAAAACCGAUCAGCGAACCAAGUUACCCUAGGGAUAACAGCGCAAUCCUCUCCAAGAGUCCAUAUCGACGAGGGGGUU
Molecule: ribosomal RNA, 433 nt
Filed under: Devario regina
Lineage: Eukaryota; Metazoa; Chordata; Actinopteri; Cypriniformes; Danionidae
Description: partial 16S ribosomal RNA
Rfam family: Bacterial large subunit ribosomal RNA
Source: RNAcentral